UGCUUUUUAUCCUACAAUACUCGUCGACGGAGUCGGAGCUGCCUGGUCGUCGAUGACGUGUGUGUGGUGGAUUGUUUGACAUUGACCGACGCAGGCCUCUGCGGUGGAGGCUACAUAGGUGGUCGUCAAUGUGAUGAUGAUGAUGUCGGAUUGCAACCUCGACGGUGCUUUUCUUUUUGGCGGCGUGUGUGCGUUUUUUGUGUAGGUUGUCUUGUGUGCCUUGUUUUUGCGGGCGUAUAGUGACGAUUUUAAUCCGGUUUUUCGUUUAUUAAUCGGGUGAUCUUUUUUAUCGAAUCGGACCCUGAGGGACCAUGUUUGAAAAAAAGUAAGACACCUACAAUGAUGCUA
This 348-nucleotide long non-coding RNA is filed under the name Hordeum vulgare. RNAcentral's name for it is "long non-coding RNA (HVUL_LNC013639)". The record is from RNAcentral. Lineage: Eukaryota; Viridiplantae; Streptophyta; Magnoliopsida; Poales; Poaceae.